This 405-nucleotide ribosomal RNA is filed under the name uncultured bacterium. Its description in RNAcentral is "partial 16S ribosomal RNA". It matches the Rfam family "Bacterial small subunit ribosomal RNA", at positions 360 to 776 of the family's 1533-position model. The record is from RNAcentral.
AAUAUUGCACAAUGGGCGGAAGCCUGAUGCAGCGACGCCGCGUGGGGGAUGACGGCCUUCGGGUUGUAAACCUCUUUCUUCAGGGAGGAAGGGAAGAUGCCGGUAUCUGUAUAAGAAGCUCCGUCUACCUUCCUUCCUGAAGCCGCGGUAAUACGUAGGGUGCGAGAGUUGUCCGGAAUUACUGGGCGUAAAGAGUUCGUAGGUGGUUUGUCACGACGUCUGGGAAAUUCCGGGGCUUAACCUCGGGAGUGCGGGCGAUACGGGCAAUACUUGAGUGCUGUAGGGGAGACUGGAAUUCCUGGUGUAGCGGUGAAAUGCGAAGAUAUCAGGAGGAACACCAAUGGCGAAGGCAGGUCUCUGGGCAGUUACUGACGCUGAGGAGCGAAAGCAUGGGUAGCGAACAGG